UACGGAGGGUGCAAGCGUUAAUCGGAAUUACUGGGCGUAAAGCGCACGCAGGCGGUUGAUUGAGUCAGAUGUGAAAUCCCCGGGCUUAACCCGGGAAUUGCAUCUGAUACUGGUCAGCUAGAGUCUUGUAGAGGGGGGUAGAAUUCCAUGUGUAGCGGUGAAAUGCGUAGAGAUGUGGAGGAAUACCGGUGGCGAAGGCGGCCCCCUGGACAAAGACUGACGCUCAGGUGCGAAAGCGUGGGGAGCAAACAGGAUUAGAUACCCUGGUAGUCCACGCUGUAAACGAUGUCGACUUGGAGGUUGUGCCCUUGAGGCGUGGCUUCCGGAGCUAACGCGUUAAGUCGACCGCCUGGGGAGUACGGCCGCAAGGUUAAA
This 375-nucleotide ribosomal RNA is filed under the name uncultured bacterium. RNAcentral's name for it is "bacterial SSU rRNA". It matches the Rfam family "Bacterial small subunit ribosomal RNA", at positions 524 to 898 of the family's 1533-position model. The record is from RNAcentral.